GUCGAACGCUGGCGGCGUGCUUAACACAUGCAAGUCGAACGGAAAGGCCCUGCUUUUGUGGGGUGCUCGAGUGGCGAACGGGUGAGUAACACGUGAGUAACCUGCCCUUGACUUUGGGAUAACUUCAGGAAACUGGGGCUAAUACCGGAUAGGAGCUCCUGCUGCAUGGUGGGGGUUGGAAAGUUUCGGCGGUUGGGGAUGGACUCGCGGCUUAUCAGCUUGUUGGUGGGGUAGUGGCUUACCAAGGCUUUGACGGGUAGCCGGCCUGAGAGGGUGACCGGCCACAUUGGGACUGAGAUACGGCCCAGACUCCUACGGGAGGCAGCAGUGGGGAAUAUUGCACAAUGGGCGGAAGCCUGAUGCAGCAACGCCGCGUGCGGGAUGACGGCCUUCGGGUUGUAAACCGCUUUCGCCUGUGACGAAGCGUGAGUGACGGUAAUGGGCAAAGAAGCACCGGCUAACUACGUG
This 468-nucleotide ribosomal RNA is filed under the name uncultured bacterium. Its description in RNAcentral is "partial 16S ribosomal RNA". It matches the Rfam family "Bacterial small subunit ribosomal RNA", at positions 28 to 507 of the family's 1533-position model. The record is from RNAcentral.